GUUCUCUUAUCUCCGAAUGCUCUCGUUUUUUUCUUAAACAGCCAAGACUCAGAUGCCAGACUCAAAACAUUUGCAGCAUGGCAAAGGAUGGAUCAAAAGACCUGCCUCUGUGCCUCGAUACCGGACUCCGUGCUCCAGCUUGCGGGCUUCCAGCUGCUCAGAGCGGGCCGCGACACAGAGAGCUCUCCGGCAAGACGAAGGGUGGAGGAAUCUGCUUCUACUCCAACAACAGCUGGUGCAACGACAUAACAAUAAUUCUACAACACUGUUCUCCUGAUCUGGAAUCUUUCAUCAUCCACUGUAAACCCUUUUUCUCCCCCCGUGAGUUCGCUUCAUUCAUCCGCCGCCGGGCAACGUGCCCGAGGCACAGCAGGCAUUCGCCGACCAGAUACGGCGUGUGGAGCGGACCAACCCGGACUCCUUGGUCAUUGUACUCUGGGACUUUGACAAAGGUAAUCUCAGCUAUAAACAACCAGAGAGGAUAACAUUCUAGAUCACGUUUACACAAGCAUAAGCAGGGCUUAUCACACCAUCCCUUGUGCUGCGCUGGGACACUGCAUCUGAUUCCUGCAUACAGGCAGAAUCUAAAGCUCUUCAAACCUGUGGUGAGGGAAUUCAAGAAGUGGACCAGUGAGGCACUAGUGGAUCUUUGGGCGUGCUUGGACUGCACAGACUGGGAAGUUUUCAGCACUGCCACCAACAGUCUGGAUGAGUUCACAGAGGCUUAAACUUCUAACAUUGGCUUCUGUGAGAACAGCUGUGUACCAUCAUGUAGCAGGGUGAGUUUUAACAACGACAAUGUUCACAGCGGAACUCAUAAAACUACGACUGCAGAAAGAUCAGGCGUUUAGGAGUGGGGACAAAGACGUGUACACAGACAGGUUUAGCAAGGUGGAGAGAGAUGCUAAAUGACUGUGUACUGUACUCUGAGAAACUUCAACAACAAUUCUCAGCAAGUGACUCUACAAGCCCAAAACCCCCCACUCCAUGAAUGACGUCCGCCUGGCAGACGAGUAGAAUGAGUUCUACUGCAGAUUUGAUAGUCAAUGUCCUGACGCCAUCUUCCACAGCUCCACCAACCUGCCCCAGACCCCUUCCCCAGCCCAGCAGGGGCUCGCGCCUCUGUAUCACCCUUCCCUCUCCCAGCCCCCUCACCAGCAACAACCCUCUCUAUUCUGGAAAGACAGGCUCUUUCAAAGAAAAACCGUGAAGCAGCCGGUCCGGACUCCGUCUCCCCCCACACUCUGAAGCAUUGUGCUGAUCAGCUGUGGCCCUCCAGCAUCUGGACUCCCCAG
Long non-coding RNA from Gasterosteus aculeatus aculeatus (three-spined stickleback), 1295 nucleotides. The record is from Ensembl. Lineage: Eukaryota; Metazoa; Chordata; Actinopteri; Perciformes; Gasterosteidae.